RNAcentral lists this long non-coding RNA (282 nucleotides) under Homo sapiens (human). RNAcentral describes it as "HSALNT0119147". Lineage: Eukaryota; Metazoa; Chordata; Mammalia; Primates; Hominidae. The record is from RNAcentral.
CUUAAUUUGGUUGAAAGCAAGCUCUUCAGCCUAAGUGGAUAAAAAACAUCCCUUUGAGGAUGAGGAAAUAGACGAUAAAAUCUGUGUUCCUAAUUUUCUUCAAUAGUUCGGAGGAUUUUUUUUUCAUCCUGUGUGUGUUUUUAAGACCUUGUUAAGUUCAUAGUUCUUUUUUCUUUUAUUGUUUGAAUAGAGCACCAUUCUCUUUAAUCCCACCUGAGUUUCAAAAAUGUAUUAUUGAACUGCCCAGUUCAGGAAUUCAGUUGCCUGUUUUACUGAAUGGAG